CAUGCCGUAAACGUUGGGCACUAGGUGUGGGGGACAUUCCACGUUCUCCGCGCCGUAGCUAACGCAUUAAGUGCCCCGCCUGGGGAGUACGGUCGCAAGGCUAAAACUCAAAGGAAUUGACGGGGGCCCGCACAAGCGGCGGAGCAUGCGGAUUAAUUCGAUGCAACGCGAAGAACCUUACCAAGGCUUGACAUACACUGGACCGUUCUGGAAACAGUUCUUCUCUUUGGAGCUGGUGUACAGGUGG
This 247-nucleotide ribosomal RNA is filed under the name uncultured Brevibacterium sp. Its description in RNAcentral is "partial 16S ribosomal RNA". It matches the Rfam family "Bacterial small subunit ribosomal RNA", at positions 796 to 1041 of the family's 1533-position model. The record is from RNAcentral. Lineage: Bacteria; Bacillati; Actinomycetota; Actinomycetes; Micrococcales; Brevibacteriaceae.